ACUCUGCCAUAAGUUUAUAUAAUAUGGUUAAAAACAGAGAAAGAAAAGAAGUUACCAAUUAAUUGGAUAAUCAAAGUUGCAAAAACAAGGACCAAUAUUUCUUCAAUUUUAUAAACUGCAACUUAAAUUUGGAAAGGAGAAAAUUUUUAAGUUUCAUUAUAUCAGUAAAUUUUAAGUUAUACACAAAAUUUAUUUCUCAAGAUUAAUCUGGAUUAAGUGGAGCUCUCGAUACUAACCAGCAAUUUCAACUGAUGAAUAAGUUCAGACUUCUGCAUUUCCAACUGUCGAAGUGAACAGCUCAACCUUACUACUUUUUCCUUUAGAUCUCUUAUUUCCAUGUCCUUCUCUCUGCAGAUAAAGCUACUCUACCUGGAGGAAGAUGCCAGAUUGAACAAAUGAUUCAUCAAAUUCUUGGCUUCAGGAAGGGAACGGACUUGGUUCCAACGUCCCUUGCCACUGAAAACCCGUUCCCGCUCUUCUGCCUCUGACAAAUGAGAUGCCAUUGACAGCAAUGUUGUAGAAGAAGUAGCAAUCAUUUUUUCAAGGGCAAAUAUCCUUGAAUUUCUUGCACCCGGAGACAUUGAUGCAAGGCCAGCACUAGAUUAGCAAUCCAAGCAAGCAGAUGUUGUCAAUUAUAGAUUUCCAAAUACAAGAUUGUACAAUAAAUAAAAUGGAUGAGGUAAACUCUAAUAAAAUGGCUGAGGCAAGCAGAUCUUUUUCACCUUGAAUUGUUAAGCUUCAUCAUAUCUGCUUCUUCCUUUAAUCUUGCAAUCUCGUUGGCCAUUUUAGCCCUCCUGUAAAGUAUAGUUUGUGAGGAAAACUCUAAUAUAAGAAUGACAUCUACUUGUGUAUA
Glycine soja is the source of this 853-nucleotide long non-coding RNA. RefSeq lists it as uncharacterized. Lineage: Eukaryota; Viridiplantae; Streptophyta; Magnoliopsida; Fabales; Fabaceae. The record is from RefSeq and is a predicted model, not a curated record. The transcript is spliced from 2 exons.